CCAUGCCGCGUGCAGGAAGACGGCCCUAUGGGUUGUAAACUGCUUUUAUACGGGAAGAAAAACAGCUACGUGUAGUUGACUGACGGUACCGUAAGAAUAAGGACCGGCUAACUCCGUGCCAGCAGCCGCGGUAAUACGGAGGGUCCGAGCGUUAUCCGGAAUUAUUGGGUUUAAAGGGUCCGUAGGCGGGCCAUUAAGUCAGUGGUGAAAGUCUGCAGCUCAACUGUAGAAUUGCCUUUGAUACUGGUGGUCUUGAGUUAUGGUGAAGUGGCUGGAAUAUGUAGUGUAGCGGUGAAAUGCAUAGAUAUUACAUAGAACACCGAUUGCGAAGGCAGGUCACUAACCAUAUACUGACGCUGAUGGACGAAAGCGUGGGGAGCGAACAGGAUUAGAUACCCUGGUAGUCCACGCCGUAAACGAUGGAUACUAGCUGUCCGGAUCCUUGAGAUCUGGGCGGCCAAGCGAAAGUGAUAAGUAUCCCACCUGGGGAGUACGUUCGCAAGAAUGAAACUCAAAGGAAUUGACGGGGGCCCGCACAAGCGGUGGAGCAUGUGGUUUAAUUCGAUGAUACGCGAGGAACCUUACCAGGGCUUAAAUGCAUAUUGACAGGGGUAGAGAUACCUUUUCCUUCGGGCAAUUUGCAAGGUGCUGCAUGGUUGUCGUCAGCUCGUGCCGUGAGGUGUCAGGUUAAGUCCUAUAACGAGCGCAACCCCUACCGUUAGUUGCCAGCGAGUCAUGUCGGGGACUCUAACGGGACUGCCGGUGCAAACCGUGAGGAAGGUGGGGGAUGACGUCAAAUCAUCACGGCCCUUACGUCCUGGGCCACACACGUGCUACAAUGGCCGGUACAGAGAGCANCAUCUUGGCANCAAAGAGCGAAUCUACAAAAACGGUCACAGUUCGAUCGGGGUCUGCAACUCGANCCCGUGAAGCUGGGAUCGCUAGUAAUCGGAUAUCAGCCAUGAUCCGGNGAUACGUUCCCGGGCCUUGUAC
RNAcentral lists this ribosomal RNA (993 nucleotides) under Maribacter polysiphoniae. Its description in RNAcentral is "bacterial SSU rRNA". It matches the Rfam family "Bacterial small subunit ribosomal RNA", at positions 392 to 1386 of the family's 1533-position model. The record is from RNAcentral. Lineage: Bacteria; Pseudomonadati; Bacteroidota; Flavobacteriia; Flavobacteriales; Flavobacteriaceae.